Molecule: long non-coding RNA, 477 nt
Organism: Gadus macrocephalus (Pacific cod)
Lineage: Eukaryota; Metazoa; Chordata; Actinopteri; Gadiformes; Gadidae
Exons: 3
Source: RefSeq, a predicted model, not a curated record
UCAGACAUGCUCUUAGCCCCAAUGUAGCAGCAUGAAUCAGCCCUCUUGAAACCUAAUUGAUGCCACGCCCUCUCACCUGUGUCCAGUGACCAUGAUUGGUCAAUGCAGUUUGGCAUUUAUGUUAAUUAGACACAGCUGGGGUGGCUGAGUCUUUCCCUGGCCUCCAUUGCUUGUGUAGGUUGCCUCUAGCCUGUCCCAGCUGUGGUUCCUGUAGUUUGUGAUUCCAGCUCCUGUCACUGACAUUGCUGUCAGUCACUUUGCAAGAGCAUGAGGACCAACCAUCCGCCUCACUGUGACUCAACACUUGCUUCCUGAAUAAACUCUUUCGAUAAAUGCAUGCUUUGUUUUCAUGCUGGUCUUGCUAGAAAGGCAGGGAAAUGUAUUGUCUUAAAAUUAUUUGACAAAUUUUGAUAUUUUAUACUCUGACAAUCUUUCUAUACAGUUGCAUCAAUUUCUUUGUAAUUCCAUUUGAAUAAA